AUGGAAUUUCAAAUAUCGUUUGAUGCUAACUUGAGAUCAUUUGCGUGUUUUUUGUUCAUUAGUGAUCAGAAUUAUCGAUUCCGUUAUGUUUUUCCAAGUAAUUUUGUGAAACAGUGUAGUGAUGUCCGAUUUAUGAAAACAGACUCGAAAUGUGAUUUAAUUAUGGUUUAUUGCACAAGUGAGGUUGCUUUGAUGUUUGGACGACAUUUAUGUCAAGUUUUGUUAGUUUUGAAUCGAAAUGUUAUGCGGUUUAUGAUAUUAAUAUGUUAUUGUACGGGAUUUGUAAAUGGUAGCAUACUUAAAUUUUAA
Vicia faba (fava bean) is the source of this 309-nucleotide non-coding RNA. The record is from the annotation of a GenBank genome assembly. NCBI's taxonomy places the organism in Eukaryota, Viridiplantae, Streptophyta, Magnoliopsida, Fabales, Fabaceae.